Molecule: ribosomal RNA, 492 nt
Filed under: uncultured bacterium
Lineage: Bacteria
Description: partial 16S ribosomal RNA
Rfam family: Bacterial small subunit ribosomal RNA
Source: RNAcentral
AGUGAACGCUGGCGGUAGGCCUAACACAUGCAAGUCGAACGGCAGCACAGUAAGAGCUUGCUCUUACGGGUGGCGAGUGGCGGACGGGUGAGGAAUACAUCGGAAUCUACUUUUUCGUGGGGGAUAACGUAGGGAAACUUACGCUAAUACCGCAUACGACCUACGGGUGAAAGCAGGGGAUCUUCGGACCAUGCGCGAUUGAAUGAGCCGAUGUCGGAUUAGCUAGUUGGCGGGGUAAAGGCCCACCAAGGCAACGAUCCGUAGCUGGCCUGAGAGGAUGAUCAGCCACACUGGAACUGAGACACGGUCCAGACUCCUACGGGAGGCAGCAGUGGGGAAUAUUGGACAAUGGGCGCAAGCCUGAUCCAGCCAUACCGCGUGAGUGAAGAAGGCCUUCGGGUUGUAAAGCCCUUUUGUUGGGAAAGAAAAGCAGCAGGUUAAUACCCCGCUGUUCUGACGGUACCCAAAGAAUAAGCACCGGCUAACUUCGUG